This 769-nucleotide ribosomal RNA is filed under the name uncultured Bacillota bacterium. RNAcentral describes it as "bacterial SSU rRNA". It matches the Rfam family "Bacterial small subunit ribosomal RNA", at positions 8 to 759 of the family's 1533-position model. The record is from RNAcentral. Lineage: Bacteria; Bacillati; Bacillota.
AGGGUUUGAUCCUGGGCUCAGGACGAACGCUGGCGGCGUGCCUAAUACAUGCAAGUCGAGCGAAUGGAUGGGAGCUUGCUCCCUGACAUUAGCGGCGGACGGGUGAGUAACACGUGGGCAACCUGCCUGUAAGACUGGGAUAACUUCGGGAAACCGGAGCUAAUACCGGAUACGUUCUUUUCUCGCAUGAGAGAAGAUGGAAAGACGGUUUCGGCUGUCACUUACAGAUGGGCCCGCGGCGCAUUAGCUAGUUGGUGAGGUAACGGCUCACCAAGGCCACGAUGCGUAGCCGACCUGAGAGGGUGAUCGGCCACACUGGGACUGAGACACGGCCCAGACUCCUACGGGAGGCAGCAGUAGGGAAUCUUCCGCAAUGGACGAAAGUCUGACGGAGCAACGCCGCGUGAGCGAAGAAGGCCUUCGGGUCGUAAAGCUCUGUUGUUAGGGAAGAACAAGUACCAGAGUAACUGCUGGUACCUUGACGGUACCUAACCAGAAAGCCACGGCUAACUACGUGCCAGCAGCCGCGGUAAUACGUAGGUGGCAAGCGUUGUCCGGAAUUAUUGGGCGUAAAGCGCGCGCAGGUGGUUCUUUAAGUCUGAUGUGAAAGCCCACGGCUCAACCGUGGGAGGGUCAUUGGAAACUGGGGAACUUGAGUGCAGAAGAGGAAAGUGGAAUUCCACGUGUAGCGGUGAAAUGCGUAGAGAUGUGGAGGAACACCAGUGGCGAAGGCGACUUUCUGGUCUGUACUGACACUGAGGCGCGAAAG